Molecule: ribosomal RNA, 253 nt
Filed under: uncultured bacterium
Lineage: Bacteria
Description: partial 16S ribosomal RNA
Rfam family: Bacterial small subunit ribosomal RNA
Source: RNAcentral
UACGGAGGAUCCGAGCGUUAUCCGGAUUUAUUGGGUUUAAAGGGAGCGUAGGUGGAUUGUUAAGUCAGUUGUGAAAGUUUGCGGCUCAACCGUAAAAUUGCAGUUGAAACUGGGAGACUUGAGUGCAGAAGAGGAGAGUGGAACUCCAUGUGUAGCGGUGAAAUGCGUAGAUAUUAGGAGGAACACCGGUGGCGAAGGCGGCUUACUGGACUGUAACUGACGUUGAGGCUCGAAGGCGUGGGGAGCAAACAGG